Molecule: ribosomal RNA, 253 nt
Filed under: uncultured bacterium
Lineage: Bacteria
Description: partial 16S ribosomal RNA
Rfam family: Bacterial small subunit ribosomal RNA
Source: RNAcentral
UACGUAGGGUGCAAGCGUUGUCCGGAAUUAUUGGGCGUAAAGAGCUCGUAGGCGGUUUGUUGCGUCGGCUGUGAAAUCCCGAGGCUCAACCUCGGGUCUGCAGUCGAUACGAGCAAACUAGAGUGUUGCAGGGGAGACUGGAAUUCCUGGUGUAGCGGUGAAAUGCGCAGAUAUCAGGAGGAACACCGGUGGCGAAGGCGGGUCUCUGGACAUUUCCUAACGCUGAGGCACGAAAGCCAGGGGAGCAAACGGG